Molecule: long non-coding RNA, 1590 nt
Organism: Solea senegalensis (Senegalese sole)
Lineage: Eukaryota; Metazoa; Chordata; Actinopteri; Pleuronectiformes; Soleidae
Exons: 5
Source: RefSeq, a predicted model, not a curated record
UAGAUAUUAUAUUUUAGGAUAACCAAUGAAAAUAAGUCUCUCAACCUUAGAUAAUAUGUACACUUGUACAAAUAGAUUUUUAUACGUGUGUUUGUUUUUAUUCCCAGAUUAUUGUGAAAUGGCUACAGUGAAACUCAGAAUCAUCCUCGGGGAUAAACGAUUCCCAGAGACUGACCCUGCAAGAUGGGCUUCCAGAGACUGUUGGUGAACUUGUUCAGAACAUAAAGAGGGGUAGAGGAGCACUUCAGGCUGCAAUUUAUGGAUACGGAGUUUGGCAGUGAAUUUACCAACUUGACUUCAAUGUCAGAGAUCCAGGACAAAAGUACCUUAAAACUUGUCUUUGAUUCAGCUGCCUCUGUCCUGCCUGGUGGUUCACCCCCUCCACCCUACUCCACUCCUGCCACAUCAGGGUCUGGUAAUGAGUCAUCACUUUCAUCUGGUAGCUUGUGUGAUAUUUACAGAUAUUUUGUCUUCACCUGAGUCCAUCCCUUCAAGAUCCUCUGGAUGGCCUGUUGUUUUUUUUCUUCCUCGAUUCCCAUAUGAUUGUGAGCUGCAGCUGGACAGAGCCAAUACUGCAUUCAAAGAGAGCGGAACUUUAUUGAAUCCAGACAUGAGACUUAAAACUGCCAUUCUUGACAGUUUAGCUGAAGAAAUUGUUAAAUACAAAGUGUACCCCUCAGACAAUGAGGUUGAAGAGGUUGCCGAAGCCCUUGUGUCAUCACAUCCAUGUUUGAAAGAGCCAGGCUCUGCCACUGGAUAUGGUGGCUGGAAGGUGAGCUUAAAGUACAAACUUGCCAACUACAGGAGGAAGCUCAAGCGGCUUGGAUGUCCAGAGGUGGAACUGAAUUCCCUGACAAAUAAACCUGUAGACAAAUGCACUCCUGCUUAUGGUGUAAAGAAGCCCAGAAGAGCCCAAGUAAAUUACUGCCCCACCUACCCAUCUGGUGAAUCUGCAGAGACACUUGAAAAGAUAAGAGAGAACCUGCUUUUAGACGUAAGGAAAAGGAACAAUGAGGACACACUGGCAGCAAUGAUGGAGAAGACCUUUGCACACAGAAGGCAAGAAGUUAUUCGUGAUGCACCCUUAAUUGCGGAUUACAAAACCAGAUGGCCAGCUCUCUUCUGUGUACGUGAGCUAACUGCUGAAUUCAAGAGGAUUACAACCGUCAGUUUGCUGUCCAAGUUCUUCUCCAAGCUGGAUGCUCACUCUUCGAAGUUGAUGAGGGUGUCUGGCAAGAAAGGUGGCGUUCAAGGAUGAAAAAUUAGGAGCAUCAUGUUACCCAUCACCCAGACAGUCCAGGCACAUUGGAAAUCUUGUACGGGUUCUCCGAGUCAGUUGUAGAAGUGAGUAUGUCCUAAAUACUCAGACUGAUGCCAUUGAUGUCAGAAGAGAGUGCAUCAUCAAAGCCCUGUGUGUGUACCUGAAUGAAGAGCCCAAGAACCUUGUGAAAGAAUACAUGAACACGGAUGGUCAAAGCAUUGAAGCUGCAAUCACGGAGACUACAUUUGGAAUCUUUGUCAUUCGCAAGGAAGGCGAGGAGCCAGAUGUUGGACCGGAAGAUCUGCACCAGAGGGAGAGGAGAUGCUGAC